GACGAACCGUGCGAACGUUGUUCGGAUUCACUGGGCUUAAAGGGCGCGUAGGCGGGCGGUCAAGUCGGGGGUGAAAUCUUUCAGCUUAACUGGAAAAGUGCCUCCGAUACUGAUCGCCUCGAGGGAGGUAGGGGCAUGUGGAACUUCCGGUGGAGCGGUGAAAUGCGUAGAUAUCGGAAGGAACGCCGGUGGCGAAAGCGACGUGCUGGACCUCUUCUGACGCUGAGGCGCGAAAGCUAGGGGAGCAAACGCG
Molecule: ribosomal RNA, 253 nt
Filed under: uncultured bacterium
Lineage: Bacteria
Description: partial 16S ribosomal RNA
Rfam family: Bacterial small subunit ribosomal RNA
Source: RNAcentral